RNAcentral lists this ribosomal RNA (309 nucleotides) under Pseudolabrus sieboldi. Its description in RNAcentral is "partial 16S rRNA". Lineage: Eukaryota; Metazoa; Chordata; Actinopteri; Labriformes; Labridae. The record is from RNAcentral.
GGCUUAGCUGUCUCCUUUUUCUAGCCAAUGAAAUUGAUCUUUCCGUGCAGAAGCGGGAAUAACAACAUAAGACGAGAAGACCCUAUGGAGCUUUAGACACUAAGACAGAUCACGUCAAACACCCCAGCUUAAUGGGCCGAACUAAGUGAGCCCUGUCCUAAUGUCUUUGGUUGGGGCGACCCUGGGGAGACAAAUAACCCCCAUGUGGAGUGGAAACACCAUAUUUCUAGAACUAAGAGCUAACCGCUCUAAGGAACAGAAUUUCUGACCAUUUUAGAUCCGGCUACUGCCGAUCAGCGGACCGAGUUA